RNAcentral lists this long non-coding RNA (669 nucleotides) under Vigna radiata. RNAcentral describes it as "long non-coding RNA (VRAD_LNC001356)". Lineage: Eukaryota; Viridiplantae; Streptophyta; Magnoliopsida; Fabales; Fabaceae. The record is from RNAcentral.
ACUAGGAUUGCACAUUAAAGACUUAUCAAUCUCUUGACUCAACCACUUAGCAUUCAUCAUUUUAAUGUUAAGUUGCCUACUACACGUAUAGGUGUCAAUAAUCUUCCUCAAUUGCCAAAUUUUACGUGAUGGCAAAUACCCACAAUAAGCCACCCAUGGGCACUUUCCUUGGCCACCCAAGCAUCUUACCCUCACCCUACGUUUAUCAUUUUUCACAAAUUUAAGAGACCUCCCAGCAUGCACAGAAUAGCUUCGUAUGGCAUCCUUAAAGUCUUCCUUAUCUGUAAAUAUUGUGCCCACUUGCCACCUAUAAUUUGCCAUUGAUUUCUGUUUUACAUAUUUUGAAAAGGGGCCACUUGGGACUCUAUCCUGGAUGUCAUCCUCAUCACUUCCACUAUUUUGUGGCGUUAAAAGCACAUCAGACUCUCAUUCACCAUCUGACAACCCCCUUCCAAUUGGUUGUGCUUCAUCAUCACUGUGUUCAACCACGUACUCAUCACCACUCAAAUCCUCUAUUCCUGGUUCAUCCUCACUGUCGUCUUCCACUUCUUCUUCAUCAGUCUGAACUGCUGCUUCUUCAAUCUGAACUUCUUCUUCUUCAUCAGUAUGACCUCCUACUUUUUCAAUCUGAACUUCUUCUUAGAGCCGUCAAAAUGGGUCACAACCCGC